This 708-nucleotide ribosomal RNA is filed under the name uncultured haloarchaeon. RNAcentral describes it as "bacterial SSU rRNA". It matches the Rfam family "Archaeal small subunit ribosomal RNA", at positions 154 to 858 of the family's 1478-position model. The record is from RNAcentral. Lineage: Archaea; Methanobacteriati; Methanobacteriota; Halobacteria; Halobacteriales; Halobacteriaceae.
GCAUAUCACACUCACUCUGGAGUGAGGAGUGUGUCAAAUGCUCCGGCGCCGAAGGAUGUGGCUGCGGCCGAUUAGGUAGACGGUGGGGUAACGGCCCCACCGGUGCCGAUAAUCGGUACGGGUCAUGAGAGUGAGAACCCCGGAGACGGAAUCUGAGACAAGAUUCCGGGCCCUACGGGGGCGCAGCAGGCGCGAACCCUUUACACUGCACGCCAGUGCGAUAAGGGAAUCCCAAGUGCACAGGCAUAGAGCCUGUGCUUUUCUGAACCGUAGGGAGGUUCAGGAACAAGGGCUGGGCAAGACCGGUGCCAGCCGCCGCGGUAAUACCGGCAGCCCAAGUGAUGACCGAUUUUAUUGGGCCUAAAGCGUCCGUAGCUGGCCGCGCAAGUCUAUCGGGAAAUCUAUCCGCUCAACGGAUAGACGCCCGGUGGAAACUGCGUGGCUUGGGACCGGAAGGCGCGAAGGGUACGUCCGGGGUAGGAGUGAAAUCCUGUAAUCCUGGACGGACCGCCGAUGGCGAAAGCACUUCGCGAGGACGGAUCCGACAGUGAGGGACGAAAGCUAGGGUCUCGAACCGGAUUAGAUACCCGGGUAGUCCUAGCCGUAAACGAUGCCUGUUAGGUGUGGCUCCCACUACGAGUGGGUGCUGUGCCGUAGGGAAGCCGCUAAACAGGCCGCCUGGGAAGUACGUCCGCAAGGAUAAACUAA